AUAGUGCACUAGAAAUAGUUGUGUAUGGAGUUGCAGGAAUACGCCAAAUCUACACAUAUAAAAUGGAUUAAAACACAAUCAGAACGUGAAAGUAUAUACAUAGGAAAUAUAUAAUAUGGAUGUGUUUGUCUGUUGUUCAGCAGGUAGGUACCCAGAUGUCUGAGGAGGCUCUGAGGAUGACUCCCUGAACCCUCCAGUAUGUCAGAGCCAGCAGAAAAUGGCUCCCCCGGCUGGAAAGAUGAGGCCAUUCAGAAUGAGCCAGCAGAAAAUGGCUCCCCCGGCUGGAAAGAUGAGGCCAUUCAGAAUGGUAAUAUUAUCCUCCUCUAAAUCUGACUCUUUAACCUCCUGCUUAUGAUGUUGAGAAAAACAUGAAUUGCUGCAUUAACUCUGUUUAGGUCUGAUAACUCAGGUAAGUAUUAAUUUAGAGAAAUGUGUAAGAAAGUUGUUGGUUUGUGAGAUUUUAACCCACAUGUUACUAAAAAAUAUGUUACGAGUCGCUGCGGACACAUCAUAAUUUAUUGCUUCUCUUUCUCUCUGCUUUCCUCACUCUGACUCGCCUCUGUGAGGGCCUAAGAUAUGCUACAAAAUAAUAUUUGAAAACACUUU
This is a long non-coding RNA of Gymnodraco acuticeps, 606 nucleotides long. RefSeq lists it as uncharacterized. NCBI's taxonomy places the organism in Eukaryota, Metazoa, Chordata, Actinopteri, Perciformes, Bathydraconidae. The transcript has 3 exons. The record is from RefSeq and is a predicted model, not a curated record.